This 358-nucleotide ribosomal RNA is filed under the name uncultured bacterium. RNAcentral describes it as "bacterial SSU rRNA". It matches the Rfam family "Bacterial small subunit ribosomal RNA", at positions 917 to 1267 of the family's 1533-position model. The record is from RNAcentral.
GGGCCCGCACAAGCGGUGGAGCAUGUGGUUUAAUUCGACGCAACGCGAAGAACCUUACCUACUCUUGACAUCUACGGAAGACUGCAGAGAUGCGGUUGUGCCUUCGGGAACCGUAAGACAGGUGCUGCAUGGCUGUCGUCAGCUCGUGUUGUGAAAAUGUUGGGGUUUAAGUCCCCACGCAACGAGCGCCAACCCCUAUCCUUAGUUGCCAGCGAGUUAAGUCGGGAACUCUAGGGAGACUGCCGGUGAUAAACCGGAGGAAGGUGGGGACGACGUCAAGUCAUCAUGGCCCUUACGAGUAGGGCUACACACGUGCUACAAUGGUACGUACAGAGGGAGGCAAGCUGGCGACAGUGAG